ACUGGGCGUGGUCACGCACGCCUGUAAUCCCAGCUACUUAGGAGGCUGAGGCAGGAGAAUAGCUUGAACCUGGGAGGCGGAGGUUGCAGUGAGCCAAGACUGCGCCACUGCACUCCAGCCUAGGUGACAGAGCAAGACCCUGUCUCAA
Molecule: non-coding RNA, 148 nt
Filed under: Homo sapiens (human)
Lineage: Eukaryota; Metazoa; Chordata; Mammalia; Primates; Hominidae
Source: Rfam by way of RNAcentral